GGUCAAGCUAUAAAGAGCGCAAGGGGAAUGCCUUGGCAUCAGGAGCCGAAGAAGGACGUGACAAGCUGCGAUAAGCCACGGGGAGGAGCAAAUAUCCGAUAUAUCCGUGGAUUUCCGAAUGGGGGAACCCGCUUGAGCAAUACUCAAGCAUCGUGCAUUGAAUCAAAUAGGUGUACGAGGGGAACGGUCUGAACUGAAACAUCUAAGUAGGACCAGGAAAAGACAUCAACCGAGAUUCCGCAAGUAGUGGCGAGCGAACGCGGAGGAGGCCAAACCGGAGGAU
Molecule: non-coding RNA, 283 nt
Filed under: Firmicutes bacterium CAG:129
Lineage: Bacteria; Bacillati; Bacillota
Description: Bacterial large subunit ribosomal RNA
Rfam family: Bacterial large subunit ribosomal RNA
Source: Rfam by way of RNAcentral